AAGCGGCGGAGCAUGCGGAUUAAUUCGAUGCAACGCGAAGAACCUUACCAAGGCUUGACAUACACCGGUAACGCCCAGAGAUGGGUGCCCCUUUGUGGUCGGUGGACAGGUGGUGCAUGGUUGUCGUCAGCUCGUGUCGUGAGAUGUUGGGUUAAGUCCCGCAACGAGCGCAACCCUCGUCCUAUGUUGCCAGCGGGUCAUGCCGGGGACUUAUGGGAGACUGCCGGGGUCAAACUCGGAGGAAGGUGGGGAUGGCGUCAAAUCAUCAUGCCCCUUAUGUCUUGGGCUUCACGCAUGCUACAAUGGCCGGUACAAAGGGCUGCGAUACCGCGAGGUGGAGCGAAUCCCAGAAAGCCGGUCUCAGUUCGGAUUGGGGUCUGCAACUCGACCCCAUGAAGUCGGAGUCGCUAGUAAUCGCAGAUCAGCAACGCUGCGGUGAAUACGUUCCCGGGCCUU
Molecule: ribosomal RNA, 456 nt
Filed under: uncultured Cellulomonas sp.
Lineage: Bacteria; Bacillati; Actinomycetota; Actinomycetes; Micrococcales; Cellulomonadaceae
Description: bacterial SSU rRNA
Rfam family: Bacterial small subunit ribosomal RNA
Source: RNAcentral